ACUAAUGAUCAUACUACCAUGCUUCCCACAUGGGCCUCAUACAACUGUGCGAAAUGAACACAAACGCCUUCAAGAUUCACUUUAUAGUUGUACUGCAGAUUAGGUUGUUGAAUGUACUGUUACAAUAUGUAGCAGCAGUGAAAAGCACAUGGGCUAAGCAAAUAAUCAUCUCCAGACCCAAUCUACAAGGAAGAAAAAUGUGAUCUUCCUGCUCCUUCACUGAAGCAUCUGAUAAACAGCCUACAUAAAGACAAUAAAUAAACUUCACUUCAGCCACUUAACUUUUUCCGCCUGAUUCUCGAAGCUGGACUCAUUUAUCUCAACGGCUCUCAGCUCUUCUCUCACUGCGUUCCACCCUCACUGAUUUUGAGUAUCGCACUGAGAAGUCAAAGUAAACUUCCAUCUGGCGUGCUUUACAAACACUUUGUCACAACACAUAUGGGUCAGGAGCUGCAUCGGCACAAUUAUCCGUUAAUGGCCAAAGUGCCAAAAACAAAAGAAUACGGAAUAAGUUUGUGAGACAACCGCACUCAAGCUCACAGCGAAGGCACGGCGGAGGGAGGGAGAGAUAGAGCUGAAAGGAAAGACGAGAAAGCAUCUUCCAACAUCAGUUUUCAGCCUAAUGUUAAUAAUUUAUGUGGCUCUUGCUUUUUAUUAUUAUUAUUUAUUUAUUUACCACUUUCUUGUGCAGCAUCGUUCGCCGGGUUUCAAAAGGCAUCACGGACAGGCAUGGCAUCUCUCCAAAGUUUUGAGCGCACUUUCAAAAGGCUUUCUGCGCGUUUAUUUAUAUAUUUGGCCCUCCUUUACACUUGUCUUGUUGUUAUUUGGCGAACGCGAACACAUGAAGCUUUGAUGAGAAGCAAAGUUGACAUGUAUUCUUCUACCCUGACCCCAAGGAAAUCUAAAUAAAAAGUUAAAUAUUGUAUAGAGCCACUGAGGGCCUAUUCUCACUCACGCCUCUCAUUAAAUCUAUCCAAGUGUCAAUUAAAGUCAUUCAUGUGCCCACCAGCAGGGGUCAGGGGUGAGGGAGAGCGCCUGUACUGGGGGCGGGAGGUGCACUUGACCAUGACCCCAAAGUCAGCUUUCAUUGGACCGUUUGAAUAGCGCUGUUGAUGUGUGUUAUUGGCAGAGAUGAAAAGAGAAGUCAGUCAUGUUUGAAAAGAUUUGUAUGUUCCUCAAACCUUUGAACUCUCCAGUAGCACGUACCUGUUUUUGCUCACAACACUUUUUAUCGAAACCAAAAUAAGAACUAACUGAACCCACUUUGAACAGUCGGCUUUGACAAAGUUCAUCUACAGUGCUAUUUACAUUACAUAUAUUUUAAUAGUGCCCUUUAGAAGAGAGCGGAGGUCUAUCUCAAUACAAAUUCCACAUCUUUAAAUUUAGCAAAUAUUUAAUGCAUUGUAAACAACUGAUAAACUGCACAGAUAAGUUAGUAGACGCUUUGACGUUGUAUUGGGAGUGCGUCAUCACAAAUAAAAAGGAAUGAGGUCUUAUGAAAAAUGCGUGAAACUCUUUUAGCAGUGCAAAUUACUGUGGCCUUUAAGCCUUCAACUGUGACACCCAAAUAUCUAUAUACUAAAAAAUAUAUUUUGCUUAUAUUCAAUUUUAUAAUUAUAUAAAUAGCAACAAUAUACAGCACAUACAAAUUCCAUUUUUCUGACUAUUUCUAAAAUG
Boleophthalmus pectinirostris (great blue-spotted mudskipper) is the source of this 1677-nucleotide long non-coding RNA. RefSeq lists it as uncharacterized. The record is from RefSeq and is a predicted model, not a curated record. The transcript is spliced from 3 exons. NCBI's taxonomy places the organism in Eukaryota, Metazoa, Chordata, Actinopteri, Gobiiformes, Gobiidae.